CCUACGGGGGGCAGCAGUGGGGGAUAUUGCACAAUGGGGGAAACCCUGAUGCAGCGACGCCGCGUGGGUGAAGAAGCGCCUCGGCGCGUAAAGCCCUGUCAGCAGGGAAGAAAAUGACGGUACCUGAAGAAGAAGCCCCGGCUAACUACGUGCCAGCAGCCGCGGUAAUACGUAGGGGGCAAGCGUUAUCCGGAUUUACUGGGUGUAAAGGGGGCGCAGACGGCGAUGCAAGCCAGGAGUGAAAGCCCGGGGCCCAACCCCGGGACUGCUCUUGGAACUGCGUGGCUAGAGUGCAGGAGGGGCAGGCGGAAUUCCUGGUGUAGAGGUGAAAUGAGUAGAUAUCAGGAGGAACACCGGGGGCGAAGGCGGCCUGCUGGACUGCAACUGACGUUGAGGCCCGAAAGCGUGGGGAGCAAACAGGAUUAGAUACCCGAGUAGUC
RNAcentral lists this ribosomal RNA (440 nucleotides) under uncultured bacterium. Its description in RNAcentral is "partial 16S ribosomal RNA". It matches the Rfam family "Bacterial small subunit ribosomal RNA", at positions 338 to 795 of the family's 1533-position model. The record is from RNAcentral.